RNAcentral lists this ribosomal RNA (482 nucleotides) under uncultured bacterium. Its description in RNAcentral is "bacterial SSU rRNA". It matches the Rfam family "Bacterial small subunit ribosomal RNA", at positions 32 to 506 of the family's 1533-position model. The record is from RNAcentral.
UUAACGCUGGCAGAGUGCAUAACACAUGCAAGUCGAGCGGGGCUAUUUGCGAUUACAUCAAGAGUAGUCUAGCGGCAGACGAGUGAGUAACACGUAAGCAACCUGCCCUCAAAUGGCGAACAACCAGCCGAAAGGUUGGCUAAUACGCCGUAUAAUCUCCCGAGGGCAUCUUCGGGGGAUGAGAGGCCCGCAAGGGUCGUUUGAGGAGGGGCUUGCGUCCCAUCAGCUAGUUGGUAGGGUAACGGCCUACCAAGGCAAUGACGGGUACCCGGCCUGAAAGGGCGGACGGGCACGAUGGCACUGAGACACGGGCCAUACUCCUACGGGAGGCAGCAGUGGGGAAUUUUGGACAAUGGGGGAAACCCUGAUCCAGCAACUCUGCGUGAGGGACGAAGUCUUUCGGGAUGUAAACCUCUUUUGUUGGGGACGAAUGCCCGCAAGGGUUUGACGGUACCCGACGAAUAAGCCACGGCUAACUAUGU